This is a long non-coding RNA of Mytilus trossulus (common blue mussel), 485 nucleotides long. RefSeq lists it as uncharacterized. The record is from RefSeq and is a predicted model, not a curated record. The transcript has 3 exons. NCBI's taxonomy places the organism in Eukaryota, Metazoa, Mollusca, Bivalvia, Mytilida, Mytilidae.
AUUUUAAAUUUACUAUGACACGUUACUGAAGACCAAAUGCAAAACUUCAAUGUUGAUUUCUUUGGUAGCGUAAAUCAUCUAGGUCAACGCCCCUUACUUGAUUUUUUUGUUUGUGUUUGUAUUUAUCACUAUUAGCGGAAAAUAAAUGAGACAUUUAUGGCUGAAAACAUACCAAGAUGAAACAAUCCCUGUAUGUUCUAUGGAUUUUAUAUGUGAUAUGUUUUAUGAUUCUAUUAUUUAACGUUGCAGAUGUAGAAGGACGAUGCAAAAGUCACACGACAACUCCUGCACCUACAACUACCACCACAAUUCCUAGACCAGGUAGAUAAUAAGGUUGUGGGAGAAGAUGGGAGAAGAUGUGUUACACUGUGCAUGGGAACCGUUUAAACUGCGCAUGCUGGUCGUGUUACAUUUUUACAUACUCACGUUAUGUUUGUUUUGUUUCUAUUUUCCUUUAAUUAAAAUGUUCGAGUAACAUCGAGUAA